Molecule: ribosomal RNA, 451 nt
Filed under: uncultured bacterium
Lineage: Bacteria
Description: partial 16S ribosomal RNA
Rfam family: Bacterial small subunit ribosomal RNA
Source: RNAcentral
ACGAAUGCUGGCGGUGUGCUUCACACAUGCAAGUCGAACGGGGUAGCAAUACCUAGUGGCGGACGGGUGAGUAACACGUAGGAAUCUGCCUUUAGGCGGGGGAUAACAAUCCGAAAGGAUUGCUAAUACCCCAUGUGCAUACACCUCGACAGGGGUGUAUAUGAAAGGAGCAAUCCACCUGAAGAUGAGCCUGCGUCCGAUUAGCUAGUUGGUAGGGUAAAAGCCUACCAAGGCGACGAUCGGUAGCUGGUCUGAGAGGAUGAUCAGCCACAAUGGAACUGAGACACGGUCCAUACUCCUACGGGAGGCAGCAGUGGGGAAUUUUACGCAAUGGGCGAAAGCCUGACGUAGCGACACCGCGUGAGCGACGAAGCCCUUUGGGGUGUAAAGCUCUGUCGGCUGGAACGAAAAAAAUGACGGUACCAGCAAAGGAAGCAUCGGCUAACUACGU